RNAcentral lists this ribosomal RNA (516 nucleotides) under Metschnikowia pulcherrima. RNAcentral describes it as "partial large subunit ribosomal RNA". It matches the Rfam family "Eukaryotic large subunit ribosomal RNA", at positions 52 to 655 of the family's 3401-position model. Lineage: Eukaryota; Fungi; Ascomycota; Pichiomycetes; Serinales; Metschnikowiaceae. The record is from RNAcentral.
GGAGGAAAAGAAACCAACAGGGAUUGCCUCAGUAACGGCGAGUGAAGCGGCAAAAGCUCAAAUUUGAAAUCCCCCGGGAAUUGUAAUUUGAAGAGAUUUGGGUCCGGCCGGCAGGGGUUAAGUCCACUGGAAAGUGGCGCCACAGAGGGUGACAGCCCCGUGAACCCCYUYAACGCCUUCAUCCCAGAUCUCCAAGAGUCGAGUUGUUUGGGAAUGCAGCUCUAAGUGGGUGGUAAAUUCCAUCUAAAGCUAAAUACCGGCGAGAGACCGAUAGCGAACAAGUACAGUGAUGGAAAGAUGAAAAGCACUUUGAAAAGAGAGUGAAAAAGUACGUGAAAUUGUUGAAAGGGAAGGGCUUGCAAGCAGACACUUAACUGGGCCAGCAUCGGGGCGGCGGGAAACAAAACCACCGGGGAAUGUACCUUUCGAGGAUUAUAWCCCCGGUCUCAAUUUCCUUGUUGCCCCGAGGCCUGCAAUCUAAGGAUGCUGGCGUAAUGGUUGCAAGUCGCCCGUCUU